CAUAUUGAUGCUGUGUGUGGUAUUUGGCCAGGACCGGGUUUAGGUUCCUUUCGUGCAAGAACAAUACUAAAAGGGUCGCCGGAGUUCGGUAACAAAUGGUGCCGAAACCCGGGACCCAUGCUGUGUUGGUUUGCACGGGUGCUAGGCUGGCACCAUAGCCUGCAGCGGGGAAGCGCUUGCAGAAGGCCUGGGGUCUUGAGCCUUACCGGCACAAGAGAGAGGGUAAGUCUCCUGAGACAUAUCGGCGGGGAAGACGCCACAACUCCAGCCAUGGAACAAGUUAUUAAGGUAUUGCUUUCGUUUUGCAAAGUUUAUUGCGGGAAGAAUUCUCCUUCUGAGAACGAAAUUGCUGCGGUGCUUUCUCGUUUAGACCGAGAGGGCACGAUAAAAACCCCACGUGAUAUACUUAAUUAUCAAAAGUGGGAUGCCUUUACCAUGGCUCUUGCUCAAAGAGCCAUGUCGGUUAGGAAGUCUGCUGAGUUAAAGACCUGGGGAUUAAUCCUCGGCGCUUUAAAAGCUGCCAGAGAGGAAAAGCAGUUUUCCGAUACCGUGCGUGACGUCCUCGGUCUUGGGCAGGAUCCAGGAAAUUCCUUUGGGGAUUCCUUGGAUCCGGGAGGCCCUAGCAGGCCGGGAGAAAGUGUUUUUUGCAGGAAUCCAGAGGACGGCUUAUCGGUUCAAGAGGCGCUGCCGCUGCCGUUCAUCGAUUCCCGUGAUGCGGCUCGGGUCGAGCAGUCGCCGGCCCCGGCCCCGGCACCGCCGCUGGCGACAGCUUCGGCUCGGCCGCUGGCUCCAGUCCCGGCGCGGCUGCCGGCCACGGACUUGCUGCAGGCGCCGGUUCCAGCUUUGCCACAGGUUCGGGUUCCGUUCCUGGCCCCAAAGGGAGCAGACCCCCUCCACAGCGCCGCGGCCAAGAUGGCGCCGGCCACGCCGCUCGCUUCUGCUUCGGGCACCACCCACCAGAUGCCAAUCACCGCUGAGGAAUGCGAAGGGGGAGUGUUGCAACACCCACCGUCGUCUUCGCCAAUCAUCGCGCGAGAGACUCUCGAGACUCCUCCUCUGUAUCCGCCUCCCUAUCCACGUCAAUCAUUGUAUCCUUCAUUGGAUGAUGUUUCAGGGGCGGAGAUCGGAGAAGCAGGCUUGGUGCCAUGGCCACUGCCCUGGACAGAAUCUUCCAGUGACUGACCACUCGCAGAGAUUAGGGUAAAUUAUGGUUCUGGGAGCUUUUAACAUCUCUGGAAGGGACUACUAAAG
This is a long non-coding RNA of Numida meleagris (helmeted guineafowl), 1251 nucleotides long. NCBI's taxonomy places the organism in Eukaryota, Metazoa, Chordata, Aves, Galliformes, Numididae. The record is from Ensembl.